UACGUAGGGCGCAAGCGUUAUCCGGAAUUAUUGGGCGUAAAGAGCUCGUAGGCGGUUUGUCGCGUCUGCCGUGAAAGUCCGGGGCUCAACUCCGGAUCUGCGGCGGGUACGGGGCAGACUAGAGUGAUGUAGGGGGAGACUGGAAUUCCUGGUGUAGCGGUGAAAUGCGCAGAUAUCAGGAGGAACACCGAUGGCGAAGGCAGGUCUCUGGGCAUUAACUGACGCUGAGGAGCGAAAAGCGUGGGGGAGCGAACAGG
Molecule: ribosomal RNA, 257 nt
Filed under: uncultured bacterium
Lineage: Bacteria
Description: partial 16S ribosomal RNA
Rfam family: Bacterial small subunit ribosomal RNA
Source: RNAcentral